This 63-nucleotide transfer RNA is filed under the name Chloroparvula sp. RCC696. The record is from RNAcentral. Lineage: Eukaryota; Viridiplantae; Chlorophyta; Chloropicophyceae; Chloropicales; Chloropicaceae.
CGUGGCUCAGUGGUUAACAAACCCGACUAGCAUCCAUGAGGAUGCAGGUUCGAUCCCUGGCCU